This 746-nucleotide ribosomal RNA is filed under the name Atypus karschi. RNAcentral's name for it is "16S ribosomal RNA". The stretch from base 426 to 706 matches the Rfam family "Archaeal large subunit ribosomal RNA", at positions 2151 to 2715 of the family's 2987-position model. The record is from RNAcentral. Lineage: Eukaryota; Metazoa; Arthropoda; Arachnida; Araneae; Atypidae.
AAAGAAUUAUUUCUAUUUCAUUUUUAAAGGGAAACCUUAUUACAAUGGCUCAACUUUUCUUUUUUCUUCACAUUAAGAUUUUAAGUGUCUAUUUAGUUAUAUCACUAACACACCCUUUUCUUCCUAACAAUAUUAAUAAGACUAUUCAUAAAAACCUUAUGACAAUGUUAUAAUCAGUAAAAAAAAAAAAAAAAAAAAAAACUAAGCAAAAAGAAUUUAUGACUGUUUACCAAAAACAUUUCUUUUAGAAUCAUUAAAAGUAGACCCUGCUCAGUGAAUUUUCAACAGCCGCAGAUCAACUGUGCUAAGGUAGCAUAAUAACUUGCCUUUUAAUUUGAGGCUAGAAUGAACGGGAUCACAUUAAAUUAACUAUCUCUUUUCUUUAUUUUGAAAUUAAAUUAAUAGUAAAAAUUCUAUUAUAUGUUAAAAGGACGACAAGACCCUAUCAAACUUUACUAAAGUUUAACUGGGGCGGUUAAAAAAAAAUUCUUUUUAAGAUUUAACUAAUUAUUUAAUAACCAAGUUACUGUAGGGAUAACAGCAUAAUUUUUUUUAAGAGAACUUAUCAAAAAAAAAGAUUGUGACCUCGAUGUUGAAUUAAAUUUCCUAAUUCACGAAACCCUGAAUAUAGUAAGUCUGUUCGACUUUUAAAAAUUUACAUGAUUUGAGUUCAAACCGGUGUAAGCCAGGUUGGUUUCUAUCCUUUUUUAUAAAAAAUUAGUACGAAAGGAAAAUAUUUUAUUUUA